This 494-nucleotide ribosomal RNA is filed under the name uncultured bacterium. RNAcentral's name for it is "partial 16S ribosomal RNA". It matches the Rfam family "Bacterial small subunit ribosomal RNA", at positions 28 to 507 of the family's 1533-position model. The record is from RNAcentral.
GACGAACGCUGGCGGCGUGCUUAACACAUGCAAGUCGAACGGUGAAUCGCCUUCCUUUUUGGUGGGUGUGGAUGAGUGGCGAACGGGUGAGUAACACGUGAGUAACCUGCCCCCUUCUUCUGGAUAACCGCAUGAAAGUGUGGCUAAUACGGGAUAUUCUGGGUCUGUCGCAUGAUGGGUCUGGGAAAGAUAUUGUUUCGGUGGGGGAUGGGCUCGCGGCCUAUCAGCUUGUUGGUGGGGUGAUGGCCUACCAAGGCGGUGACGGGUAGCCGGCCUGAGAGGGUGGACGGUCACACUGGGACUGAGACACGGCCCAGACUCCUACGGGAGGCAGCAGUGGGGAAUAUUGCACAAUGGGCGCAAGCCUGAUGCAGCGACGCCGCGUGAGGGAUGGAGGCCUUCGGGUUGUGAACCUCUUUCGCCAGUGAAGCAGGCCUGCCUCGUUUGUGGGUGGGUUGACGGUAGCUGGAUAAGAAGCGCCGGCUAACUACGUG